UGCCACCAUAAAUUCUAUAUUUGAUCAGGGAAAGGCAAUGACUGAUGCAUUUGAACCAGCCACUAAUCGCAUCCAAGAGAUUGUUGGAAAUGUCUAUGGAGUCAGAGUAACUUUUAUACACCACUGGCUUUUUACCUUCAUCUACAAAUAAUAUAAGACAAAAUAGGAAGAUCAUGCUUUCUGUGAAGAGAUUCAUUGGAAAAUCCCCAC
RNAcentral lists this unclassified non-coding RNA (210 nucleotides) under Hevea brasiliensis (rubber tree). Lineage: Eukaryota; Viridiplantae; Streptophyta; Magnoliopsida; Malpighiales; Euphorbiaceae. The record is from RNAcentral.